RNAcentral lists this ribosomal RNA (494 nucleotides) under uncultured bacterium. RNAcentral's name for it is "partial 16S ribosomal RNA". It matches the Rfam family "Bacterial small subunit ribosomal RNA", at positions 28 to 507 of the family's 1533-position model. The record is from RNAcentral.
GACGAACGCUGGCGGCGUGCUUAACACAUGCAAGUCGAACGGUAAAGCGCCUUCCUUUUUGGUUGGUGUGGAUGAGUGGCGGACCGGUUAAUGACACGUUAGUAACCUACCCCCUUCUGCUGGAUAACCGCAGGAAAGUUUCGCUAAUACCGGAUAUUCUGUGUCUGUGACAUGAUGGGACUGUGAGAGAUAUUGUUUCUGUGGGGGCCGGUCUCGCGGCCUAUCGGCUUGUUGGUGGGGUGAUGGCCUACCAAGGCUGUGACGGGUAGCCGGCCUGAGAGGGUGGACGGUCAUAGUGGGGCUGCGACGCGGCGCAGACUACGACGGGAGGCAGCAGGGGGGAAUAGUGAACAGUGGGAGGAAGGCUGAAGCAGCGACGCGGCGGGAGGGAUGGAGGCCGGGGGGUUAUGAACCUCUUUCGGGAGUGAAGCGGGGCUGCCUAGUAUGUGGGUGGGUUGACGGUAGCUGGAGAAGAAGCACCGGCUAACUACGUG